GUCGCCGGUCAAAGAGGAGCGGAAAGACCUGUUCCCAUUUCGAACACAGUAGUGAAUUGCUCCAUCGAUUUUGUCGGUACUGUAGAAAAUACGGGAAAGCAAAGACACUGGCGAUU
RNAcentral lists this ribosomal RNA (116 nucleotides) under Nanobdellota archaeon. The record is from RNAcentral. Lineage: Archaea; Nanobdellati; Nanobdellota.